This 173-nucleotide ribosomal RNA is filed under the name uncultured bacterium. RNAcentral describes it as "partial 16S ribosomal RNA". It matches the Rfam family "Bacterial small subunit ribosomal RNA", at positions 1320 to 1500 of the family's 1533-position model. The record is from RNAcentral.
GUGAAGCUGGAUUCGCUAGUAAUCGCGCAUCAGCCAUGGCGCGGUGAAUACGUUCCCGGGCCUUGUACACACCGCCCGUCAAGCCAUGGAAGCCGGGGGCGCUUGAAGUGCGUUGCCGCAAGGCGCGCCCUAGAGCGAAACCGGUGACUGGGGCUAAGUCGUAACAAGGUAUC